ACGGAAGGCAGCAGUGGGGAAUAUUGCACAAUGGGGGAAACCCUGAUGCAGCGACGCCGCGUGAGUGAAGAAGUUAUUCGUAAUGUAAAGCUCUAUCAGCAGGGAAGAAAAUGACGGUACCUGACCAAGAAGCCCCGGCUAACUACGUGCCAGCAGCCGCGGUAAUACGUAGGGGGCAAGCGUUAUCCGGAUUUACUGGGUGUAAAGGGAGCGUAGACGGUCUGGCAAGUCUGAUGUGAAAGGCAGGGGCUCAACUCCUGGACUGCAUUGGAAACUGUCAGUCUUGAGUGUCGGAGAGGUAAGCGGAAUUCCUAGUGUAGCGGUGAAAUGCGUAGAUAUUAGGAGGAACACCAGUGGCGAAGGCGGCUUACUGGACGAUAACUGACGUUGAGGCUCGAAAGCGUGGGGAGCAAACAGGAUUAGAUACCCUGGUA
RNAcentral lists this ribosomal RNA (434 nucleotides) under uncultured Blautia sp. Its description in RNAcentral is "partial 16S ribosomal RNA". It matches the Rfam family "Bacterial small subunit ribosomal RNA", at positions 341 to 792 of the family's 1533-position model. Lineage: Bacteria; Bacillati; Bacillota; Clostridia; Lachnospirales; Lachnospiraceae. The record is from RNAcentral.